This 447-nucleotide ribosomal RNA is filed under the name uncultured bacterium. Its description in RNAcentral is "bacterial SSU rRNA". It matches the Rfam family "Bacterial small subunit ribosomal RNA", at positions 355 to 825 of the family's 1533-position model. The record is from RNAcentral.
UCGGGAAUUUUGGGCAAUGGGCGAAAGCCUGACCCAGCAACGCCGCGUGAAGGAUGAAGUAUUUCGGUAUGUAAACUUCGAAAGAAUAGGAAGAAUAAAUGACGGUACUAUUUAUAAGGUCCGGCUAACUACGUGCCAGCAGCCGCGGUAAUACGUAGGGACCAAGCGUUGUUCGGAUUUACUGGGCGUAAAGGGCGCGUAGGCGGCAAUUCAAGUCAUCUGUGAAAUCUCCGGGCUUAACUCGGAACGGUCAGAUGAUACUGCUUUGCUAGAGUGCAGAAGGGGCAAUCGGAAUUCUUGGUGUAGCGGUGAAAUGCGUAGAUAUCAAGAGGAACACCUGAGGUGAAGACGGGUUGCUGGGCUGACACUGACGCUGAGGCGCGAAAGCUAGGGUAGCAAACGGGAUUAGAUACCCGUGUAGUCCCUGAGCGGGCUGGCAAGGCGCAU